UUUGAUCAUGGCUCAGAUUGAACGCUGGCGGCAUGCCUUACACAUGCAAGUCGAACGGUAACGGGCCUUCGGGUGCCGACGAGUGGCGAACGGGUGAGUAAUGCAUCGGAACGUACCUUUCAGUGGGGAUAACGUAGCGAAAGUUACGCUAAUACCGCAUAUUCUGUGAGCAGGAAAGCAGGGGAUCGCAAGACCUUGCGCUGAUUGAGCGGCCGAUGUCAGAUUAGCUAGUUGGUGAGGUAAAGGCUCACCAAGGCGACGAUCUGUAGCGGGUCUGAGAGGAUGAUCCGCCACACUGGAACUGAGACACGGUCCAGACUCCUACGGGAGGCAGCAGUGGGGAAUUUUGGACAAUGGGGGCAACCCUGAUCCAGCCAUGCCGCGUGAGUGAAGAAGGCCUUCGGGUUGUAAAGCUCUUUCGGCCGGGAAGAAAUCGCAUGGGUUAAUACCCUGUGCGGAUGACGGUACCGGCAUAAGAAGCACCGGCUAACUACGUG
Molecule: ribosomal RNA, 497 nt
Filed under: uncultured bacterium
Lineage: Bacteria
Description: bacterial SSU rRNA
Rfam family: Bacterial small subunit ribosomal RNA
Source: RNAcentral